GAGAGAGAGAGUUGUGUGAAGCUGAUAGUCUUAAUUAGCUUGGGAGCAACUCAUUUGGCAAUGGCUUGAAUGUAACGGACGUUCAUUAACAUAAAAUAGUUGCACACUAUUGCAUUAAUCAUAGUUCUGUACUCUGCUGUUA
Etheostoma spectabile (orangethroat darter) is the source of this 142-nucleotide long non-coding RNA. RefSeq lists it as uncharacterized. The transcript has 3 exons. The record is from RefSeq and is a predicted model, not a curated record. NCBI's taxonomy places the organism in Eukaryota, Metazoa, Chordata, Actinopteri, Perciformes, Percidae.